CCUACGGGUGGCAGCAGUGAGGAAUAUUGGUCAAUGGGCGUGAGCCUGAACCAGCCAAGCCGCGUGAAGGAAGAAGGCGCCAGGCGUCGUAAACUUCUUUUGUCGGGGAACAAAGGGCGCCACGUGUGGCGUUUUGAGGGUACCGGAAGAAAAAGCAUCGGCUAACUCCGUGCCAGCAGCCGCGGUAAUACGGAGGAUGCGAGCGUUAUCCGGAUUUAUUGGGUUUAAAGGGAGCGUAGAUGGGUUGUUAAGUCUGUUGUGAAAUUUUGCGGCUCAACCGUAAAAUUGCGAUUGAUACUGGCUGGCUUGAGUACAGUUGAGGUAUGCGGAAUUCGUGGUGUAGCGGUGAAAUGCUUAGAUAUCACGAAGAACUCCGAUUGCGAAGGCAGCUUACGAAACUGCCACUGACGUUGAUGCUCGAAGGUGUGGGUAUCGAACAGGAUUAGAUACCCGAGUAGUC
Molecule: ribosomal RNA, 460 nt
Filed under: uncultured bacterium
Lineage: Bacteria
Description: partial 16S ribosomal RNA
Rfam family: Bacterial small subunit ribosomal RNA
Source: RNAcentral